Molecule: ribosomal RNA, 403 nt
Filed under: uncultured bacterium
Lineage: Bacteria
Description: partial 16S ribosomal RNA
Rfam family: Bacterial small subunit ribosomal RNA
Source: RNAcentral
GACGAACGCUGGCGGCGUGCCUAAUACAUGCAAGUCGAGCGAGCGGCGGACGGGUGAGUAAUGUAUGGGGACUGCCCGAUAGAGGGGGAUAACUACUGGAAACGGUGGCUAAUACCGCAUACUAUCGGAAAACCCAUAUGGGAUUAGCUAGGAGGUGGGGUAAAGGCUCACCUAGGCGACGAACUCUAGCUGGUCUGAGAGGAUGAUAGGCCAUCCUGGGCCUGAGACACGGCCCGGACUCCUACGGUGGCAGCGGUGUGGACUAUUGCACAAUGGGCGCAAGCCUGAUGCAGCCAUGCCACGUGUAUGAAGAAGGCCUUAGGGUUGUAAAGUACUUUCAGCGGGGAGGCGUUACCCGCAGAAGAAGCACCGGCUAACUCCGUGCCAGCAGCCGCGGUAAUUC